ACUUGAUCUGAAUUCAGGCGGGAUUACCCGCUGAACUUAAGCAUAUCAAUAAGGGGAGGAA
Molecule: ribosomal RNA, 61 nt
Filed under: Mucor sp. TMDF106
Lineage: Eukaryota; Fungi; Mucoromycota; Mucoromycetes; Mucorales; Mucoraceae
Description: partial 28S ribosomal RNA
Source: RNAcentral